GGGCCGUUAGCUCAGUCGGUAGAGCAGCUGGCUUUUAACCAGUUGGUCGGUGGUUCGAGUCCACCACGGCCCACCA
This 76-nucleotide transfer RNA is filed under the name Acidithiobacillales bacterium SM1_46. Its description in RNAcentral is "tRNA-Lys". It matches the Rfam family "tRNA". Rfam says of the family: Transfer RNA (tRNA) molecules are approximately 80 nucleotides in length. Their secondary structure includes four short double-helical elements and three loops (D, anti-codon, and T loops). RNAcentral also lists the same sequence under 2 other names. Lineage: Bacteria; Pseudomonadati; Pseudomonadota; Acidithiobacillia; Acidithiobacillales. The record is from RNAcentral.